UACCUCAAUACUCUUUAAACCCUUUAUUACUAUUAAGUAGCUCUAUAAAUAUAUAGAAGCUUUCAUGCUAAAACUAGUAACAAGAAAUUGCUUUUCUCCAAAAUUUAAAUAUAAACCAAAAUGGACUCACCAUUGGUAAUUAACGCUUAUAAAACCACUAUAACAACAUAACUGGAAAACACUAUACUUUUUUACGUUAACCUUACACAAGUAAAUUUCUGGAAAGAUUAAAAGAAAGAGAAGGAACUCGGCAAAUUUUAACCCCGCCUGUUUACCAAAAACAUCGCCUCUUGAUAAAACAUAAGAGGUCUAGCCUGCCCAGUGACAUUAUUAAACGGCCGCGGUACCCUGACCGUGCAAAGGUAGCAUAAUCAUUUGUUCUUUAAAUAAGGACUCGUAUCAACGGCAUCACGAGGGUUAUACUGUCUCCUCUUUUCAAUCAGUGAAACUGACCCCCCCGUGAAGAGGCGGGGAUAAAAACACAAGACGAGAAGACCCCAUGGAGCUUUAAACCCAAUAACAACUCUUUUUAAAUAAACUUAAAAAUAUAGAUGCCCUGUUUAUUGGUUUUGGGUUGGGGUGACCACGGAGUAAAAAUUAACCUCCAUGACGAAUAGAUUUAUCUUUAUCCAAGAGCCACUGCUCGAAGAAUCAAAAAUUUGACGUUAUAUGAUCCGGCAACCGAUCAACGAACCAAGUUACCCUGGGGAUAACAGCGCAAUCCAUUU
Molecule: ribosomal RNA, 728 nt
Filed under: Limnonectes cf. diuatus RA-2019
Lineage: Eukaryota; Metazoa; Chordata; Amphibia; Anura; Dicroglossidae
Description: partial large subunit ribosomal RNA
Rfam family: Bacterial large subunit ribosomal RNA
Source: RNAcentral